UGCGUUUAUAGCUCAGUCCGUAGAGCACGAGACUCUUAAUCUUAGGGUUGUGGGUUUGCGCCCCAACCUGGGCAA
Podarcis lilfordi (Lilford's wall lizard) is the source of this 75-nucleotide non-coding RNA. NCBI's taxonomy places the organism in Eukaryota, Metazoa, Chordata, Lepidosauria, Squamata, Lacertidae. The record is from the annotation of a GenBank genome assembly.